Molecule: ribosomal RNA, 258 nt
Filed under: uncultured bacterium
Lineage: Bacteria
Description: partial 16S ribosomal RNA
Rfam family: Bacterial small subunit ribosomal RNA
Source: RNAcentral
GACGAACGCUGGCGGCAGGCUUAACACAUGCAAGUCGAGCGCCCCUCUUCAAGCGAGCUUGAAGGACCUUAAAACAAACAAGCGACCCGAAGGGUCGCCUUGAUGGAGGGGAGCGGCAGACGGGUGAGUAACGCGUGGGAACGUGCCCUUCGGUUCGGAAUAGCUCCGGGAAACUGGAAUUAAUACCGGAUACGCCCCUAGGGGAAAGAUUUAUCGCCGAAGGAUCGGCCCGCGUCAGAUUAGGUAGUGGUGGGGUAA